Molecule: transfer RNA, 69 nt
Filed under: Felis catus (domestic cat)
Lineage: Eukaryota; Metazoa; Chordata; Mammalia; Carnivora; Felidae
Also listed under: 5 other names
Rfam family: tRNA
About the family: Transfer RNA (tRNA) molecules are approximately 80 nucleotides in length. Their secondary structure includes four short double-helical elements and three loops (D, anti-codon, and T loops). Further hydrogen bonds mediate the characteristic L-shaped molecular structure. tRNAs have two regions of fundamental functional importance: the anti-codon, which is responsible for specific mRNA codon recognition, and the 3' end, to which the tRNAs corresponding amino acid is attached (by aminoacyl-tRNA synthetases). tRNAs cope with the degeneracy of the genetic code in two manners: having more than one tRNA (with a specific anti-codon) for a particular amino acid; and 'wobble' base-pairing, i.e. permitting non-standard base-pairing at the 3rd anti-codon position.
Source: Rfam by way of RNAcentral
UGGCUCAGUGGGUUGAGCAUCUGACUUCAGCUCAGGUCAUGAUCUCACGAUUCGUGGGUUCAAGCCCAC